AGGAUGCCUCAAAAGUCCUCGGAGCUUAUACACUUCACUUGAUCCUGACACAAUGCUAUUAGCUGCCGCUACGAGGGAACCCUAUUAUUAGCGCUUCUGUUACCAAGACGUUUCUACGGAAGGAUGUUUGACUCUUAAAGUGCCUCUAAUUGUAAGAAACGCGAUGCCUCUUUUAAUCGCAGACAAUAGAAAUCUGUAUCUGCGGUGAAUUAAACGGUGCACGCGAGCGUGCGGAUAGCACUUGCGACUUGAGCCGGGCGAUUGUCUUUACUGUCUUGCGAUCAAUGUUCUCGCGUAAUGUAUGGAUGAAAAGAAUAAAAAAAAAAAAAA
This is a long non-coding RNA of Wasmannia auropunctata (little fire ant), 330 nucleotides long. RefSeq lists it as uncharacterized. NCBI's taxonomy places the organism in Eukaryota, Metazoa, Arthropoda, Insecta, Hymenoptera, Formicidae. The record is from RefSeq and is a predicted model, not a curated record. The transcript has 2 exons.